UAUACUUGUUGGUGAAUUUAACAAGUAAACUUUUAUGAUUAUCAAUAUGGUUAUUGUUUAUUAGUGAUCCAAAAUCAUAAAAUAAUGGAUUAAUGGAUUGAUAGAAUAAUGAAUUAAUGAAUUAAUAGAAUAAGAUAUUAAAAUAUUCUCAGGAUAAUGAAUUAAUAUAUUGACAGAAUGAUAUAAGGUACAUAUAUUUAAUUAACGGAUGUACAGAAUAAUCGAUUAACAGAUCCACAAAAUAAUGUAUUAAUAUAUUCAUAAAACAAUGGAUUUAUAAGAUUCAUAAGAAUAAGAAUAAUGGGUUAACGGCUUCUCAAAUUAACGGAUAAACGUGUCAAUAGCUGUGUGAGCCAUCGGCUGGAUUUUCCAUUCAAAUCAUUGUGAUUGUUUCAUAUAAAAUGAAAUAUGAAUCAUGCAGCGUUGUGACUUACAAGGGAGCAUAUAGGAUAAUCUAUUCCAUUCCGUGAGAAGAUCUACUUAGUAAAGAUUUCGGAGACAUAAUUUAUUCUGUUCUGUGUCAAAAAUUGGCACUGGUAUCACUCAUCUGCACUUAUUCUGUUAGUUUCUUUCUUAAUAUUUUUUUGUUCAUAUUGUAUGCAGUCACUUUUUGAGUAAACUUUCUAUUUUUU
Long non-coding RNA from Vespula pensylvanica (western yellowjacket), 632 nucleotides. RefSeq lists it as uncharacterized. The record is from RefSeq and is a predicted model, not a curated record. NCBI's taxonomy places the organism in Eukaryota, Metazoa, Arthropoda, Insecta, Hymenoptera, Vespidae. The transcript has 3 exons.